CCCUGAAAUACUGUAUGAAGUUGCUGGAAAAACUCCAUCCACUACACUCCAACCUUCGUUCCUUCAACUCUAAGAAUUCCCAGGGCCUCUUUGUCCUGGCUUUGAGUCCUAGGGCCAUCCCACAGUUGACUGGGAAGUACCUUCCGAGGGGUGCCUGGAAGUUCCCAUGCUCCACUGGGGCAGAACUUGAGGUCCCAGAUGCAGCCGUUGUCACAAGCAAUCCCAUAGACAAAGUGGGCCCUGUUGCCAGGACUGGAGAGAGAGAGCAUGUGGGGAUGGUGGGUAGGAAGAAGGGACGCAGGGCUGCCAGAGGUCCCAAGGCCCCAGAGCUGGAGCAGCCCAGGACCCGAAUGAAGCUGGCUCAGUGGGUGUGUCUCAUUCAUGUCAGGGCUGGAGAAAAGAGCCACAUAUUGCGAGGCUCCUGCCCCCUCUGGCACUGGGCACCAGUCCAGAGCCCAGAGCGGUCCCCCCGUGAAGAAGGACACAUCCCAGCGCUCUGGAUGUGCUGUGAUCGAGCUAAAUCUAGAGAAAAAUCAAAGAUGGGAUGAAGAAAGGAAUUAAUGAAAGAAUCAGAAAAAAGGGCGGAUGUGCAAUCUUCACCUGUUUAUUCGGUAGAGGGUGCCAUCUUCAGGUAGCCCUUCACGUUGUACAGAAAACAAUGGAGACUUCUCCUCCUGGGGCAGUGGUGUCA
This is a long non-coding RNA of Homo sapiens (human), 691 nucleotides long. Ensembl annotates it as GTF3C2 antisense RNA 1. Its record names the gene GTF3C2-AS1. The record is from Ensembl. Lineage: Eukaryota; Metazoa; Chordata; Mammalia; Primates; Hominidae.